UAGGUUUACAAAAUUCCCGAUAGGACGUCACAUCCGUGCCGGAGCCUUGUAACCGAAUAUUUAAGGGGGAAUACGUUAAUG
This 81-nucleotide small RNA is filed under the name Atopostipes suicloacalis. RNAcentral's name for it is "SAM-III sequence". It matches the Rfam family "SAM-III riboswitch aptamer (SMK box)". The record is from RNAcentral. RNAcentral also lists the same sequence under 1 other name. Lineage: Bacteria; Bacillati; Bacillota; Bacilli; Lactobacillales; Carnobacteriaceae.